This 495-nucleotide ribosomal RNA is filed under the name uncultured bacterium. Its description in RNAcentral is "partial 16S ribosomal RNA". It matches the Rfam family "Bacterial small subunit ribosomal RNA", at positions 28 to 507 of the family's 1533-position model. The record is from RNAcentral.
GACGAACGCUGGCGUCGUGCCUAAUACAUGCAAGUAGAACGCUGAAGGAGGAGCUUGCUUCUCUGGAUGAGUUGCGAACGGGUGAGUAACGCGUAGGUAACCUGCCUGGUAGCGGGGGAUAACUAUUGGAAACGAUAGCUAAUACCGCAUAAGAGUAGAUGUUGCAUGACAUUUGCUUAAAAGGUGCAAUUGCAUCACUACCAGAUGGACCUGCGUUGUAUUAGCUAGUUGGUGGGGUAACGGCUCACCAAGGCGACGAUACAUAGCCGACCUGAGAGGGUGAUCGGCCACACUGGGACUGAGACACGGCCCAGACUCCUACGGGAGGCAGCAGUAGGGAAUCUUCGGCAAUGGACGGAAGUCUGACCGAGCAACGCCGCGUGAGUGAAGAAGGUUUUCGGAUCGUAAAGCUCUGUUGUAAGAGAAGAACGAGUGUGAGAGUGGAAAGUUCACACUGUGACGGUAUCUUACCAGAAAGGGACGGCUAACUACGUG